UCGACUGUUUAUCAAAAACAUAGCCAUAAGCAAAUACAUUUAUGGUAUUAUCUGCCCGGUGAAAAUUUUAACGGCCGCAGUACCUUGACUGUGCAAAGGUAGCAUAAUCACUUGACUUUUAAAUGGAGCCUGGAAUGAAAGAAAGAACGUAUACAACUUGUCUUGCUAAUAAUAAUUUAAAAUUACUGUAUGAGUGAAAAUACUCAUAUAUUAUAAAAUAGACGAGAAGACCCUUAGAAUUUUAAAAAUAUAAAAGGAAAAACUUAUAAGAUUUUUUGUUGGGGCAACAAUAUUUCAUAUAAUAAAUAUUAUAAGGAUGAAUAAGUCGAUUUAAUAGUGAUAGAAAAAUUACCUAAGGGAUAACAGCAUAAUUUAAUAAUAAGCUUGUGAC
Molecule: ribosomal RNA, 391 nt
Filed under: Albinaria nivea
Lineage: Eukaryota; Metazoa; Mollusca; Gastropoda; Stylommatophora; Clausiliidae
Description: partial 16S ribosomal RNA
Rfam family: Archaeal large subunit ribosomal RNA (bases 1-207)
Source: RNAcentral